AUUGAACGCUGGCGGCAGGCCUAACACAUGCAAGUCGAACGAGUGGCGGACGGGUGAGUAAUGUCUGGGAAACUGCCUGCUGGAUGGGGUUAACUACUGGAAACGGUUGCUAAUACCGCAUACCAUCGGAUGUUCGCAGCUGGGAUUAGCUAGUAGGUGGGGUAAAGGCUCACCUAGGCGACGAUCCCUAGCUGGUCUGAGAGGAUGAUCAGCGACACUGGAAAUGAUAGACGGUCCAGACGCCCACGACAGGCAGCGGUGGGAAAUAUUGCACAAUGGGCGCAAGCCUGAUGAACCCAUUGCGGGGAUAUGAAGAGGGCCUUGGGGUUGUACAGUACUUUCAGCGGGUAGGCGUUACCCGCAGAAGAAGCACCGGCUAACUCCGUGCCAGCAGCCGCGGUAAUUC
Molecule: ribosomal RNA, 406 nt
Filed under: uncultured bacterium
Lineage: Bacteria
Description: partial 16S ribosomal RNA
Rfam family: Bacterial small subunit ribosomal RNA
Source: RNAcentral